This 362-nucleotide transfer-messenger RNA is filed under the name Pallidibacillus pasinlerensis. It matches the Rfam family "transfer-messenger RNA". Rfam says of the family: Bacterial tmRNA, also known as 10Sa RNA or SsrA, is named for its dual tRNA and mRNA-like properties. Its role is to liberate the mRNA from a stalled ribosome. To accomplish this part of the tmRNA is used as a reading frame that ends in a translation stop signal. The record is from RNAcentral. Lineage: Bacteria; Bacillati; Bacillota; Bacilli; Caryophanales; Bacillaceae. RNAcentral also lists the same sequence under 1 other name.
GGGGACGUUACGGAUUCGACAGGGGUAGAUCGAGCUUAGGCUGCGAGCCGAGUCGGCGAACUCGUCAAAACGCCACGCCAAUAAUAACUGGCAAAUCUAAUCAAUCUUACGCUUUAGCUGCCUAAUAGGCCUUAAGCGGCUCCUCCCUCCAUCGCCCGUGUGGUAGGGUCAGGGGUUCAUCUUAGCGGGAUACGCCGGUUGCCCGCCGUCUGAGGGCGAAGGAAGAGACUAAUCAGACUAGCGUUCACAAAGCCUGUCGAUAGGCCGAGUGGACUUGCGAAAUUGCAAUAUAUCGACUACGCUCGUAGACGCUUAAGUGGCGAUACCUCUGGACGUGGGUUCGAUUCCCACCGUCUCCACCA